GCACCCGUAGCUCAGCUGGAUAGAGCGCUGCCCUCCGAAGGCAGAGGUCACAAGUUCGAAUCUUGUCGGGUGCG
The sequence is a transfer RNA, 74 nucleotides long. It matches the Rfam family "tRNA". From Rfam's summary of the family: Transfer RNA (tRNA) molecules are approximately 80 nucleotides in length. Their secondary structure includes four short double-helical elements and three loops (D, anti-codon, and T loops). The record is from Rfam.